RNAcentral lists this ribosomal RNA (372 nucleotides) under uncultured organism. RNAcentral describes it as "bacterial SSU rRNA". It matches the Rfam family "Bacterial small subunit ribosomal RNA", at positions 526 to 896 of the family's 1533-position model. The record is from RNAcentral.
CGUAGGGGGCAAGCGUUGUCCGGAAUUACUGGGCGUAAAGGGCGUGUAGGUGGGUAAUUAAGUCAUGGGUGAAAACUGCGAGCUCAACUUGCAGACUGCCUAUGAAACUGGUCAUCUUGAGGGCAGGAGAGGAAAGUGGAAUUCCUAGUGUAGCGGUGAAAUGCGUAGAUAUUAGGAGGAACACCAGUGGCGAAGGCGACUUUCUGGACUGUCCCUGACACUGAGGCGCGAAAGCUAGGGGAGCGAACGGGAUUAGAUACCCCGGUAGUCCUAGCCGUAAACGAUGGGUACUAGGUGUGGGAGGUAUCGACCCCUUCCGUGCCGGAGUUAACACAUUAAGUACCCCGCCUGGGGAGUACGGCCGCAAGGUUG